ACUUCCAUAUUGCUGUUCAUCAUCAAAGGGAGUCAAAUGGCAGGAACCUGAAGCCAUUGGAGACCAGAAAAGAUAUCAGAUGCCCUGGAACUGGAGUUACAGACAAAUUUGAACUAUCACAUCGGUGCUGGGAUUCAAACUUGGGUCCUCUGGAAGAGCAGCAACUGCCCCCAACUGCUGAACCCAGAAUUUGGUUCUUAUCAAAAGCAUAAAAUCUUAUCACUUGCUAUUCUCAUUUCCAAUAAAUCCUAAAUAUUAUUGUUACUUUCUUUGUAACCGCAAUGAUUUUCUUAAGAAAUAAACUUCUGACGUCUGAA
This is a long non-coding RNA of Mastomys coucha (southern multimammate mouse), 317 nucleotides long. RefSeq lists it as uncharacterized. The transcript is spliced from 2 exons. NCBI's taxonomy places the organism in Eukaryota, Metazoa, Chordata, Mammalia, Rodentia, Muridae. The record is from RefSeq and is a predicted model, not a curated record.